Long non-coding RNA from Pecten maximus, 393 nucleotides. RefSeq lists it as uncharacterized. The transcript is spliced from 2 exons. The record is from RefSeq and is a predicted model, not a curated record. Lineage: Eukaryota; Metazoa; Mollusca; Bivalvia; Pectinida; Pectinidae.
GCUACCCGUUUGGAUACAUUUUUGUUUAUAAGAUCUGAGGAGUUACCUCCCUUUAAGUACUAUUUUCAUUGUACAUAUUUCCUUACAUUCAAGGCUUCGUAUGCGAGUUACUGCCCUUAGUGGAACUCUUUUUCGUCAUUAUUGUGAACAGUCGGCCAUUACAACGAUGAAGCACGUUGUUUUGAUUCCUAUUGAAAUGUAGAUAUAGGCUUGGUCGAGCCAUGAAUUCUUCACUAUUACAAGUAUAACAAGAAAAGAGGUUAUUAGAGGACUAUUACCAUUACUGUAAUACUGAGGUUAAAGUUCAAGUCUUUUCAUCAUGAUCACCAGAUUUAUGUUGUCCUGGAUAAUUUGGAUGGAAAUCGACUACAAUAAAACCAAUACCAACACGUA